AGGAUUCCCUCAGUAAGGGCGACUGAAGCGGGAAGAGCUCAAACCGAAAAUUGUGGUGUGUUUGCGUAUCGGGCCGGCCAAAGUCCCUUGGAACAGGGCAGCGUAGAGGGUGAGACUCCCGUUCUGGUCUUGGAGCAUAUUUGAGUCGAGUUGUUUGGGAUUGCAGCUCAAAGUGGGUGGUAAAUUCCAUCGAAAGCUAAAUAUUGGUGGGAGACCGAUAGCGUACAAGUACCGUGAGGGAAAGAUGCAAAGAACUUUGAAAAGAGAGUUAAAGAGUACCUGAAAUUGCUGAAAUGGAAGCGAAGGAAACCAGUCGUGCGUGUUAUAUUUUUAGGGCUGUGGCUGCACUGGUCAAGGUGGUU
Molecule: ribosomal RNA, 362 nt
Filed under: Fragilaria crotonensis
Lineage: Eukaryota; Bacillariophyta; Fragilariophyceae; Fragilariales; Fragilariaceae
Description: eukaryotic LSU rRNA
Rfam family: Eukaryotic large subunit ribosomal RNA
Source: RNAcentral